UGACACAUGCAUAUUAUGAACUUCGUAAUGCAGACCAUGUAAACAUUUUCAAUUAUUUACCUUCUGAUCUUAAAACUUCAUCUUAUGAUUAAAUUUACCCGUCGUAUUUUCCUAAUAAUGUGCAGUAUUCCACAAAAGUUUUUCCAAGUUUGUCGGUUGUGUUUGGUAUCAAUUGGAGAAAAUGAUGUCCAGACCCAUCGUUUGUGUGAUGAGUCUCAAGUUCGGAGACGCUUAUUUACGGACUGCGGUUGCAACAAAAAUCUGUAUAAUAAUCAUUUUGCAAAGAGUCCAAUCCGUGACAAAAAUAAGAGAUUUGAUAAGUCGACAGAUGAUUCUUUACCGUUGAUAAUUUCCCCUAGUGAUUCAUGUUUGCCCAAAAAUUUUCAGCACUCAAAUUCUGAGUUGUCAAAAGAAGAGAAGCCAGAUAUUCGAAAUAACAAAGAAAGAAGUAAGGUAAAGAAUAAAUUUGUACCUGAAAACAUUGGGGAUGAGACAUUUCAAAAUUUUGAUGAUGAUUCAUCGCCGUCUAUAGUAAUACAAAUACUUAGAUGUCUAUCCUUAGAGGUGUCUCUUGGUGACCAAUUACCCAAAUUGGUAUGCUGCAACUGCCUGUCCAACUUACGGACUUUAUGGAAAUUCCGGACGAUGGCUCAAGAAGCAGAUACCGUACUUCGAAAUUUUUUGAUGUAUUGCAAAUCAUCAAAUAAGAAUAUUUCAGAAAUUGGAAUUCAUUUCAACAAUAUGGUUUCCUCUACCUCUUGGAACAAAUCUCCAUCUGAGCAAAUGGCUGCGACGGCAUUAACUGAGUUGUGCAAUAUUUCAAGAAAAGAUGACCAUAACCAAAAUAAAUCUCCUGAUAAUGAAUUGCUUUGUUCGAAAUCAGAACACGAAACUAUAUUUGAACAAGAUGACAAUGGAAUUCGACAAGAUUUAAGACCAUCUGAAGAAACUUGUUUCAGUGAAUGUUCUCAAAAUGAAACCGAUUACAUAUUUCGGACGCAUCUAGAAACGGAUGCAGUUCUCACAGACGUUAGCAAGAACGUCGUAUCCAUUUCGUGUUCGAAUCAUACAACACUAAACCAUUGUACUUGUAUGCUAAAUCAUUUAAAGAAUAAUAAUAUUCGGAUUAAACAAAAUAAUGUUUCGGAGACUAAUACUUCGGGUACUUUACGAAAUUCAUCAACAUUUAUUCACAUACCGGACGGUAAUAAUUUACACACAGAAGGUAUUCUCAACCGUAUAACGAGAGACAAGUAUACGCCCUUUCACUCAAAUGAUAAAGCGGACCAUUUAAUAAACGACUGCAAUUCUCCUAGUAGCAUUACCACUUCAGAGGAACUAGCUACUGAUGCGGCAACUACUCAACUAUGGCAGGUAUUGGCGCAUUCGGCAGCCAAGCGAAAUGAAUGCAAGGAAGCGUCUCAACUUUUACACAUAUUAAACAGUUCUUUCGCAUUGCCCAAAUCACCAAAUCUAGAAAGAAAAGCACCCUCAGAGAAGCCAAUGGAAUUAGUCAAGUGUGGGAAAUUAUUUGCCUCUAGAAACGGUCUUCAUAAGGAUAUGGUGUGCUCUAAUUGUGGAACAGUAACUACAACUAUUUGGAGGAGGAGUAUCUGUGGCGAUAUUGUAUGCAAUGCAUGCGGUUUAUAUUUUAAACUCCAUGGAGUUAAUAGACCGCAUUCCAUGAGACGGGAUACUAUACAUACUAGACGGCGGCGACAAAAGGGCCCCGAAAAAGCAGUAAAAAUUGUUUCUCGAUGACAACGAAUCUCCGCUUUUGUAUAACAACAACAUCAUCAUAACCAUCAAUCUCAUCAGUAUAUCACGAUCCCCGUACAACAGCAACAAUAACAACAAGGCCUUCUGUCAAGCAGGUACCAUUAUGUAGUCAUCCGAUGUUUUGUCACAUGCUUAUAUAGACGCACGGAGGAAAAGCAACGGUAUUUUUAAAGACUUUUUAUAAGGUCAAGUUUCUUUCUCGGAAAGUUUACAUUGUUGUCAAGUCACUUGGAAAUAGCUUGGUGACGGACAAAUUGCUGUUACCUCAUGUAAUUAGAAAAAUAUUAACUAUAGUUGUUGCCGCUAAAACCAAUCAGUAAAGAAAAACCAUUGUAUUUCUAUAUAUUAUUUACUAAUAGUCACCGCGUUUAAAACCAUUCAAUGCUGUGCAGACACACGCUUGCAGAAGAAUAAUUCUGUCUUUCCGAAGAAAAUUCACUGUAUACACACCUUUUAAAGUAUUUAAUGACGCACUUUAAGCCAAUUUAGUGCCGUGCAGGCACAUAUUUUUGAUAAUUUCCUGAAAUUUUGAUAUAUAUAAUUUUUAAGCGAUUUUACAACAUUUUAGUACAUUUAAGCUGUUUUAAAUAUUCAAGCCCAUGAUUGUGAACCUUUGUUAUUCUCCUUCUUCUUUUUAAUUUGUUGUUUAGCAAUUUUUGAUAACCUUGUGCUGUUCAAGGCAAAACACUUGUAUUUUCCAUUAGUUUGAAGAGAAUUUUCAAGCCUUUUAGAAACAUUCAGUGCUGUUUAAGGCACUUAUCAUUUCUUUCCUUCAAUUCAAACCUUUGUCAAGUAUUCUCGUACCAGGUGGCACAUUGAGAUAUGCUACUUAAUCUCUUUUAACAUAUUUUUUUCUUGGUUUAUAUUCCGUCACUUGAUCGAAUUUAUUUAUGAUGGUAUAUAAAAACAUAUUGUACAUGAGAUUUUAGCCCAAUUCUCAUUCUAGUUUUUUAUUGUAUUUAUAAGUCAUGAAUUGUGACCGCAUUCCAUAUUAUAGCGCUAUAAUAGGAGUGU
Stomoxys calcitrans (stable fly) is the source of this 2793-nucleotide RNA transcript. RefSeq lists it as uncharacterized. The transcript has 7 exons. The record is from RefSeq and is a predicted model, not a curated record. Lineage: Eukaryota; Metazoa; Arthropoda; Insecta; Diptera; Muscidae.